Molecule: ribosomal RNA, 375 nt
Filed under: uncultured organism
Description: partial 16S ribosomal RNA
Rfam family: Bacterial small subunit ribosomal RNA
Source: RNAcentral
GAGGGGUGCAAGCGUUAUUCGGAAUAACUGGGCGUAAAGGGUGCGUAGACGGCGCAUUAAGUCCGUUGUUAAAUCUUCCGGCCUAACCGGAGGGCUGCAAUGGAUACUGGUGUGCUAGAGGAUGGAAGAGAGAAGUGGAAUUCCCGGAGUAGCGGUAAAAUGCGUGGAUCUCGGGAGGAACACCAAUGGCGAAAGCAGCUUCUUGGUCCAUUCCUGACGUCGAGGCACGAAAGCGUGGGGAGCAAACAGGAUUAGAUACCCUGGUAGUCCACGCUGUAAACGAUAACCACUAGACGUCAGUCCCGGCCCUAGCUGGAUUGGUGUCGAAGCUAACGCGUUAAGUGGUUCGCCUGGGGGACUUCGGUCGCAAGACUA